AGGGCACCACCAGGAGUGGAGCCUGCGGCUUAAUUUGACUCAACACGGGGAAACUCACCCGGCCCGGACACCGUAAGGAUUGACAGAUUGAUAGCUUUUUCAUGAUUCGGUGGAUGGUGGUGCAUGGCCGUUCUUAGUUCGUGGAGCGAUUUGUCUGGUUUAUUCCGAUAACGAGCGAGACUCUAGCCUACUAAAUAGUUCGCACAUUGUCUCUGUGUGUGUGGCUUCUUAGAGGGAUUUUCGGUGUUCAGCCGCACGAAAUUGAGCAAUAACAGGUCUGUGAUGCCCUUAGAUGUCCGGGGCUGCACGCGCGCUACACUGGCAAAAUCACCGUGCUUGUCCUUCCCCGAAAGGGGUUGGUAAACCCUUGAAAAUUUGCCGUGAUUGGGAUUGGAAAUUGCAAUUAUUUUCCAUGAACGAGGAAUUCCAAGUAAGUGCGAGUCAUCAGCUCGCGUUGAUUACGUCCCUGCCCUUUGUACACACCGCCCGUCGCUGCCCGGGACUGGGCCAUUUCGAGAA
RNAcentral lists this ribosomal RNA (519 nucleotides) under uncultured eukaryote. RNAcentral's name for it is "SSU rRNA". It matches the Rfam family "Eukaryotic small subunit ribosomal RNA", at positions 1161 to 1705 of the family's 1831-position model. The record is from RNAcentral.